Molecule: ribosomal RNA, 48 nt
Filed under: Oxera splendida
Lineage: Eukaryota; Viridiplantae; Streptophyta; Magnoliopsida; Lamiales; Lamiaceae
Description: partial 26S ribosomal RNA
Source: RNAcentral
CGCGACCCCAGGUCAGGCGGGACUACCCGCUGAGUUUAAGCAUAUCAA